Molecule: ribosomal RNA, 454 nt
Filed under: uncultured Barnesiella sp.
Lineage: Bacteria; Pseudomonadati; Bacteroidota; Bacteroidia; Bacteroidales; Barnesiellaceae
Description: partial 16S ribosomal RNA
Rfam family: Bacterial small subunit ribosomal RNA
Source: RNAcentral
ACGGGAGGCAGCAGUGAGGAAUAUUGGUCAAUGGGCGGAAGCCUGAACCAGCCAAGUCGCGUGAGGGAAGAAGGUCCUACGGAUUGUAAACCUCUUUAGCCGGGGAGCAAUAAGCGCUAUGUAUAGCGUGAUGAGAGUACCCGGAGAAUAAGGAUCGGCUAACUCCGUGCCAGCAGCCGCGGUAAUACGGAGGAUCCGAGCGUUAUCCGGAUUUAUUGGGUUUAAAGGGUGCGUAGGCGGGCUGUUAAGUCAGCGGUGAAACCCCCGGGCUCAACCCGGGGACUGCCAUUGAAACUGGCGGCCUUGAGUACGUUGGGAGUGCGCGGAAUGUGUGGUGUAGCGGUGAAAUGCAUAGAUAUCACACAGAACACCGAUCGCGUAGGCAGCGCACUACGCCGCAACUGACGCUGAGGCACGAAGGCGCGGGGAUCGAACAGGAUUAGAUACCCUGGUA